ACGAAGGGGGCUAGCGUUGUUCGGAAUUACUGGGCGUAAAGGGCGCGUAGGCGGUUCUAUAAGUCAGGAGUGAAAUCCCCAGGCUCAACCUGGGAAUUGCUUUUGAGACUGUAGAGCUAGAGUGCAGGAGAGGUGAGUGGAAUUCCCAGUGUAGAGGUAAAAUUCGUAGAUAUUGGGAGGAACACCAGUGGCGAAGGCGGCUCACUGGCCUGUAACUGACGCUGAGGCGCGAAAGCGUGGGGAGCAAACAGGA
RNAcentral lists this ribosomal RNA (253 nucleotides) under uncultured prokaryote. RNAcentral describes it as "partial 16S ribosomal RNA". It matches the Rfam family "Bacterial small subunit ribosomal RNA", at positions 525 to 777 of the family's 1533-position model. The record is from RNAcentral.